This 468-nucleotide ribosomal RNA is filed under the name uncultured bacterium. RNAcentral's name for it is "partial 16S ribosomal RNA". It matches the Rfam family "Bacterial small subunit ribosomal RNA", at positions 28 to 507 of the family's 1533-position model. The record is from RNAcentral.
GACGAACGCUGGCGGCGUGCUUAACACAUGCAAGUCGAACGGAAAGGCCCUGCUUUUGUGGGGUGCUCGAGUGGCGAACGGGUGAGUAACACGUGAGUAACCUGCCCUUGACUUUGGGAUAACUUCAGGAAACUGGGGCUAAUACCGGAUAGGAGCUCCUGCUGCAUGGUGGGGGUUGGAAAGUUUCGGCGGUUGGGGAUGGACUCGCGGCUUAUCAGCUUGUUGGUGGGGUAGUGGCUUACCAAGGCUUUGACGGGUAGCCGGCCUGAGAGGGUGACCGGGCACAAGGGGACUGAGGGACGGACCAGAAGCCAACCGGAGGCAGCAGUGGGGAAUUUGGCAGAGUGGGCGGAAGCCUGAUACAGCAACGCCGCGUGCGGGAUGACGGGCUACGGGUGGUAAACCACUUUCGCCGGUGACAAAGCGUGAGUGACGGUAAUGGGUAAGAAAGCACCGGCUAACUACGUG